Molecule: RNA transcript, 6816 nt
Organism: Cyprinodon tularosa
Lineage: Eukaryota; Metazoa; Chordata; Actinopteri; Cyprinodontiformes; Cyprinodontidae
Exons: 2
Source: RefSeq, a predicted model, not a curated record
GGUAUUGCAGGCUGGGGUUUUUGCCCAGUCAUGUUCUCUGUUAAUUUCCUUCAAUACUAAGAUGGCAGUUCAGAUGAAGGAUAGUUGAAGACACAAUCUGCUUUGUAUCUUUGGUUUAGUUCGCCAUCCACUGGUUUUUGUGUUCUGUGUGCGUCCAAGGAUAUGUAAGUAAAUUACUGACAUUAUUAUUUACAGAUAGAUGUGUAUUUUUAUUAUAUUUUUGAUGAUAGUUGGUAAUUGUAAUUAUGAUGUCCAGCCAGCCACAUGGCAAUGCUAAUUAGGUUUAUUUUCUGCUUUUUCUGUUUGUAGAACCACACACACACACUCUGUAUCUGCUUUAAACCCACCAGUAUACAAAUAUUGUAUGGAUCUUCUUUGAUGGUGAAUAAACCACAACAUUUUGGACAUCAAGCAUUUGACUGAUGCUUCACAGCGGUCACCAUUCCCACAACCAGUUUUUAAUUGAAAUAUUAGAAUCCCUCAUUACAUUUGGUGCCGAAACCCGGGAAGAGUGAUCACUGUGCACAUUUAAAAUGUUUCCACAUGAGAGGAGAGAUACGACUACACAUGCGGAUAAUCGCCCGCGACGUCAGAUACGUCCCCCCGCAUGGAUGGAUGAUUACGAAGUGCAGCUGCCACCCAUGGAUAGACAUCCCUUCGCUACAGCAGCACCAAGCCAGCAUGAUCUCCUAACCCAGCAGCCAUACUACAGUCGGGAGAGGCGUGGAGACAGCUCUGCUUCAUCUGUGCUCUCUAACCCGUGGACCCCAUUGUAUGAUGCUCGACCAAAGUAUCCCAGAGAGUCGGUGUACUCGGGACUCCAGUAUAGUAGCACCCCUGAUCCACAGUUUAUGAGAGCACCACCAGACCCCUCACCUGCUAUGCAAGAGGAGCUGCGUCAGGUUAAGGAAGAGAAUCGCAGGCUUCAGGCCACUGUAAUGGAGAUACAAAGGCAGCUCAAUACAAGUAAACAGCCAGACAUAUCCCGGCCUCCUCCUCCCUCCUCUCUACGGCCAGAUCCUGUUACCCAUUUACCAGCACGCAUACCGCCAGUGCCACCUGUGGAUGCAGUGCCUCGCAGCCUCUCACAGUCAGCUCCACAGGCCAUGACGGCACCUGCUCCCCCCAUGGGUGUAGCUGUGAAGGAUGAAGCUGACGAUGGGGAAUGGCCUCCUCCUCCCCCAUCUGUAGCAGAGGACGACACGCCGUAUUCAUCGGCAGCAGUUCCUCUGCCAGUGUCUCUCGUGGAAGAGCUGACAGCCUGUCUUAGAAAGAUGGGGAGGGCCCCAGAGCCCCCACUAAGGGUGGCUGAGUACUGUGAGCAGUAUUCUGAGGGAUCUGUGUCUCAAGGACACACUCACCGGCCAGAGCAACUGUCCACUCAAGCUGGACCCAUUCAUCCGAGCUCUGGACGCCAAGCCCCAUUCACUGACCCUAGCCAUGAGGGAGCCUAUGCCCACCGACAGAGAGAAAGUGUCUAUAGAGGGCCUAAAGCUACCAUUCCAGACUUCACUAAAGGGGACCCCCGUGAGUUUAAUAGGAUGAAAGACUCACUUGAGAACCUUCUCCCUGCAGAUGCUACAGAAAGGUUUAAAUACCAAAUACUUCUGGACCAUCUGAAAUUUGAAGAUGCACUCCUCAUAGCAGACUCCUAUAUGAACUCCUCCCAACCAUAUACGGACACCAUGGCCUCACUAACCGUGCAUUAUGGGCAACCCCAUCAGUUGGCGUUACGGCGCAUUGCAGAGUUAAUGGAGGCACCCAGCAUCCGAAGCCAUGAUGCAGCCGCCUUCAAGAGGUUUGCCCUCAGAGUGAGAGCUUUGGUUGGUAUGCUCGACAAGCUGGGAGAAGAGGGUCAUAUAGAGCUAAAGUGUGGGUCGCAUGUAACCAGGCUGAUGUCCAAGCUCCCACAGGAACGGCGUGCUGAUUUCAUGAAAUAUGUGCAUCCAUUCAAUGUUCGAGUCCCUACAUUGUUCGACUUCUCUGACUGGCUAGAGUUCGAGCUAAAGGUCCAAGAGUAUGGGCAGUGCUUGUUCAGAGAAGUGAAAGAGACCACAGAGGGAAAGAAAGAGCGACGAAAGGAUUCAAAGUCAGCUAUGCCCACUACUGUACUCCACAGUACUGAGAAGUCCCCAGACAGUACAUCGGCUAACGCCAGUCCUGCAAGCAAGAUCCUGCCAUCAUGCCCAUACUGUACCAAUGCCCAGCACUACUUGAACCAGUGUACUACGUUCAGUCAGCUCACUACUGAGCAGCGCAGUGCCUGGAUCAAGAGCAACAGAAGGUGCUGGCGUUGUGCUCGUUCCCAUCAAGCCGCCCAAUGUCGACUGAAGGCUAGGUGUAAGUCCUGUGGAGGGAGACAUCUGGACGCCCUUCAUGACCUCAACGCAAAACCAGCCACUGAGGAGAAAUCCUUCCUUGUGAGUGCUCCGACCAACGAAGUACUCUAUCUAGAUCGUAAGGCAGGCUCCAGCCAAGUGCUCUUAAAGGUGUUGAAGGUGGUGCUACACCAUGGGGAGAAGGCUUUGGAGACUUAUGCAAUACUUGAUGAUGGCUCAGAGCGAACAAUGCUCCUUCAAGCUGCUACAAAGGCCUUACAUCUGACAGGUGAGCCAGAGGAGAUUGCUCUUAGAACAGUGCACCAAGACCUUAAAGUGCUGCAGGGCUUUUCUGUCUCAUUCACCAUUUCACCUGCCGGUCAACCGCAAAAGACCUUCCAGAUCCAGAGAGCCUUUACUGCAGACCUUCUGGGAUUGGCAGAACACUCUCAGCCUGUUAAGAUGCUCCAGCGCCGGUACAGACACCUGCAAGGCCUGCCGCUCAGAACGCUAGAUAGAGUUCAGCCAAUGGUCCUCAUUGGAUCUGACCAUCCUCACCUGAUUACCCCGACAGAGCCAGUCCGAUUGGGGCCACCAGGAGGACCAGCGGCUGUGAAGACCAGACUGGGCUGGGUCAUCCAAGGGCCCACUAGUGUUGUUCGGCAACAACUCCAGCCUGAACUUUGUUUGAACAUUGGCGUACUUUCACCCUCAGAGCAGCUCCAACACCAUGUGGAGAAGUUAUGGCAGAUGGAUGUGGUGCCAUACAAAAGUGAAAGGCUGGUGACGCGCUCGAGGCAGGACCAAGAGGCGGUGCACAUGCUUGACACGAAGACAGUACGGGUGGAGGUUGAUGGAGUCUUGCGCUACGCCACACCACUGCUACGUGUGAAGGAUAUGCCCUGCCUCCGCACUCCCAAAGAAGCUGUCCUAGCCAAUCUGAGGAGCACUGAAAGACGUCUGCUUAAAGACCCAGAGAAAGCAGCAGCCUAUGGGGCUGAGAUCUUGAAACUCAAACAGGCCGGCUAUGUUGUCAAGAUUGAAGAUGAGGAGGUGAACGAGUCAACCGAAUCCUGGUUUAUCCCACAUCACAUGGUGACGCACAAUGGGAAAAAUAGGAUUGUGUUUAACUGCUCCUACACCUAUAAAGGCCAGAACCUGAAUGAGUUACUGCUACCUGGUCCGACCCUUACCUCCAGCAUUCUUGGUGUCCUGCUAAGAUUCCGGGAACAUGCUAUCGCCCUCAGCAGUGACAUCAAGGGCAUGUUCCACCAGGUGCGGUUGUUACCAGAGGACAGACCUUUGCUGCGCUUCUUGUGGAGGGAUCUGAAAGGAGGAGUACCACCAGAUGUCUAUGAAUGGCAAGUCCUCCCCUUUGGAACCACAUGCAGCCCCUGCUGUGCAACGUAUGCACUGCAGAAGCAUGUGGCAGACCACUGUCAACCAGGGGAUGAAGUUCGUUUUUCCAUUGAGCGGUGCUUCUAUGUAGAUAACCACCUGCAAAGUCUCCCCUCCACUGAAGAAGCCCAUCAGCUGGUUGACAAACUCAGGGCCCAGCUUACCACAGGUGGCUUCGAUCUGCGCCAAUGGGCUAGCAAUGUCCCGGAAGUCAUCAGCCAUCUGCCGAAGGAGUCAAGAUCUGAGAGCAGUGAGCUAUGGCUCACAGAAUCCCAUGAAGAUCCUCAAGAGCUCACCCUUGGACUCCGUUGGCUGUGUGCGUCAGACACUCUAGGCUACAAGUAUCACCUUGCAGAAAGCCCUACUCCUACCAUGAGGAACAUCUACAGCACGCUGGCAAGGCUUUAUGAUCCACUAGGUUUUCUCAUACCCUUCACCACGCGAGCCAAGAUCAUUGUGCAGUACCUAUGGAAGAAGGAAAGAGAAUGGGAUGAUCCCUCCUUGCCAGCGGAUGCUCUCAAGGCGUGGCUGAGUUGGGAAGCCGAGCUGCAACACCUUCCAGAGAUUGUCCUACCUCGUUGUUAUACAAGCCCCCCUCUGGACAACCCUGCUGCUCUGCGAAGCCUGCAAAUUUUCUGUGACGCAUCUGAGAAAGCUUAUGGCUCAGUAGCAUACUUGCGUACAGAAAUACCAGGCAAGAAGGUGGAAGUAGCUUUCCUGACAGCGCGAUCAAGAGUAGCCCCCAAGCGCCAGCAGACAAUGCCCAGGCUGGAACUGUGCGCAGCCUUGACAGGUGCCCAGCUGGCCAAGCUCCUACAGCAUGAGCUAACCCUGAGACUCGAUGAGGUGACGCUCUGGACGGACUCAACCACUGUCCUGACUUGGAUCCAGUCAGACUCCUGCAGAUUCAAGGUGUUCGUGGGUGCCAGAGUCGCUGAAAUCCAGGAGAUAAGCGAGGCCCAAUCCUGGAGGUACGUGGACUCUGCAAACAAUCCCGCAGACGACAUAACCCGUGGGAAGAGCCUAAGAGACCUUGCAGGGAAAAGCAGUCGUUGGAGCCACGGCCCAGCAUUCCUGCAUCAGUCCCCUGAACACUGGCCAACCAAACCCACAGCGGAGUCCCUGGAGGGUGAAGAGUUGCGCAAAACCACAUUCUGUGGCUCCAUAACCACUGCCCCACUCCUCUACUUACCUGACACAAGCCAGUUCAGCAGUUUUAAAGAGUUAAUGGAAGCAGUGGUCCAGGAGCGUCACGGGACGGCAAAGGACCAUUCUACUCCAGCAGCCGAGGACUAUCGUAAUGCUGAGAGAGACCUGCUGAGACAAGUGCAGGUGGAAUGCUUCCCAGAGGACCUCAAGCACCUGUCAGAGAGCAAACCAGUCCCCUCCACCAGUCGUCUCAUCGCCCUUGCCCCUGAGUAUGACAAACAGCUCAAGUUGAUUCGGGUUGGAGGAAGACUGCGGCGCAGCGACCUGCUUGAGGCUGAGAGCAUUCACCCUAUCGUCCUGGAUCCAGCCCACCCAGUCACCAGGCUCAUAAUCCAAAGUGUCGACUGCGAUCUUCGCCACCCAGGAUCUGAGCGCCUCUAUGCUGAAUUACGUCGGAAGUACUGGAUCCUCCGUGGACGAGAGGCGGUGAAGCGGCAUCAACAUUCAUGUACUGAGUGCCAGAGAUGGAGGGCAAAACCAGUUAUACCACAGAUGGCAGACUUACCACCUGCACGUCUGCGGUUGCUGAAGCCACCGUUCUUCUCCACCGGUAUGGAUUGUUUCGGUCCUCUUACUGUCAAGGUAGGACGACGACAGGAGAAGCGCUGGGGUAUACUAUUCAAGUGCCUCACUACCCGCGCCGUCCACAUAGACCUCUUGAGUAGUCUGGACCAGGAUUCCUUUCUGAUGGCACUCCGCCGAUUCAUCUCCCGCAGAGGGAAACCUGCUGAGUUACUCUCGGACCAGGGCACGAAUUUCAGAGGAGGGGAGAGGGAACUGCACGACUCCUUCAAAGCAAUGCACCCUGCCCUACAGUCCGAGCUGGCUAAGCACCAGGUGAAGUUCCAGUUUAAUCCACCAAGUGCACCCCACUUUGGAGGGGCCUGGGAGAGAGAGAUCAGGUCCAUCAAGUCGGCCCUGUAUGCCACCAUCCAGUCACAGACUGUGACAGAAGAGGUCCUUCACACAGUCCUUAUUGAAAUUGAGGGCAUACUCAAUUCGAAGCCACUGGGUUAUGUAUCCAGUGACAUCGCAGACCCAGAUCCAGUGACACCCAACAUGCUCUUGAUGGGGCGGCAGGACCCCUCUUUGCCUCAGGUUGUGUACACGGAAUCUGAGCUGCUGAGCCGACGCCGCUGGAGACAUACCCAGGUCUUGGCUGACCAGUUCUGGAGGAAGUUUAUAAGACACCACCUGCCAUUCCUCCAGACACGAUCGAAAUGGCAGAGGGACACCACUCCGCUACAGCCAGGUGCUGUUGCUAUGAUUGUGGACCCACAACUUCCCAGAGUCUCGUGGCCUGUAGGUCGUAUAACGAAGGUCACCCCGAGUGCAGACGGGAGGAUCCGGACAGCGGACAUCCAGGUCAACGACCGGAGCUACACCAGGCCAGUUGCCCGUCUGGUCCCACUGCCAGGCCUUCCAGAGACUGCUCUCAAUGGCAGUCCUUCUCCAGGAUAACAAAUAUGACUUUGCAUAUUUGGGGGCGGCUGUAUUGAAGGACUUUGGGUUUGGGAUUGUUUGAUGUGUGGUGUGUAGAAGUAGCCACUCAGCUCCCCCCUCUGGUUAGUGGUAGGUAUUGCAGGCUGGGGUUUUUGCCCAGUCAUGUUCUCUGUUAAUUUCCUUCAAUACUAAGAUGGCAGUUCAGAUGAAGGAUAGUUGAAGACACAAUCUGCUUUGUAUCUUUGGUUUAGUUCGCCAUCCACUGGUUUUUGUGUUCUGUGUGCGUCCAAGGAUAUAACCACACACACACACUCUGUAUCUGCUUUAAACCCACCAGUAUACAAAUAUUGUAUGGAUCUUCUUUGAUGGUGAAUAAACCACAACAUUUUGGACAUCAAGCAUUUGACUGAUGCUUCACAGCGGUCACCAUUCCCACAACCAGUUUUUA